UACGUAGGUGGCAAGCGUUGUCCGGAAUUACUGGGUGUAAAGCGCGUGUAGGCGGGCGGCCAAGUCUGCUGUGAAAUCGCCCGGCUCAACUGGGCGGGGUCGGUGGAAACUGGUCACCUGGAGGACGGUAGAGGCGAGUGGAAUUCCCGGUGUAGUGGUGAAAUGCGUAGAGAUCGGGAGGAACACCAGUGGCGAAGGCGGCUCGCUGGGCCGGACCUGACGCUGAGACGCGAAGGCGUGGGGAGCGAACGGG
Molecule: ribosomal RNA, 253 nt
Filed under: uncultured bacterium
Lineage: Bacteria
Description: partial 16S ribosomal RNA
Rfam family: Bacterial small subunit ribosomal RNA
Source: RNAcentral